This 497-nucleotide ribosomal RNA is filed under the name uncultured bacterium. RNAcentral's name for it is "partial 16S ribosomal RNA". It matches the Rfam family "Bacterial small subunit ribosomal RNA", at positions 28 to 507 of the family's 1533-position model. The record is from RNAcentral.
GAUGAACGCUGGCGGCGUGCCUAAUACAUGCAAGUCGAGCGAACAGACGAGGAGCUUGCUCCUCUGACGUUAGCGGCGAACGGGUGAGUAACACGUGGAUAACCUACCUAUAAGACUGGGAUAACUUCGGGAAACCGGAGCUAAUACCGGAUAAUAUAUUGAACCGCAUGGUUCAAUAGUGAAAGACGGUUUUGCUGUCACUUAUAGAUGGAUCCGCGCCGCAUUAGCUAGUUGGUAAGGUAACGGCUUACCAAGGCGACGAUGCGUAGCCGACCUGAGAGGGUGAUCGGCCACACUGGAACUGAGACACGGCCCAGACUCCUACGGGAGGCAGCAGUAGGGAAUCUUCCGCAAUGGGCGAAAGCCUGACGGAGCAACGCCGCGUGAGUGAUGAAGGUCUUCGGAUCGUAAAACUCUGUUAUUAGGGAAGAACAAAUGUGUAAGUAACUAUGCACGUCUUGACGGUACCUAAUCAGAAAGCCACGGCUAACUACGUG